This 76-nucleotide transfer RNA is filed under the name Camelus bactrianus (Bactrian camel). It matches the Rfam family "tRNA". From Rfam's summary of the family: Transfer RNA (tRNA) molecules are approximately 80 nucleotides in length. Their secondary structure includes four short double-helical elements and three loops (D, anti-codon, and T loops). Lineage: Eukaryota; Metazoa; Chordata; Mammalia; Artiodactyla; Camelidae. The record is from Rfam by way of RNAcentral. RNAcentral also lists the same sequence under 3 other names.
AGAGUAAUAGCUCAGUGGUAGAGCGCAUGCUUAGCAUGCAUGCAUAAGGUCCUAGGUUCAAUCCUCAGUACCUCCA